This 60-nucleotide transfer RNA is filed under the name Tetraclita rufotincta. Its description in RNAcentral is "tRNA-Ser". The record is from RNAcentral. Lineage: Eukaryota; Metazoa; Arthropoda; Thecostraca; Balanomorpha; Tetraclitidae.
GAAAAUGAAACCCCUUACAGCUGCUAACUGUAAGUCUUGCAAACAUAUGUAACAUUUUCU